Molecule: transfer RNA, 92 nt
Filed under: Micromonospora yangpuensis
Lineage: Bacteria; Bacillati; Actinomycetota; Actinomycetes; Micromonosporales; Micromonosporaceae
Description: tRNA-Ala
Source: RNAcentral
UGGUCGCCGGCCUGGCGAUCACCCCGUUCGCGCUGGGUUCGGCGGUCACCUCCGCCCUCGGUGGCCGGAUCGUCAACCGGCGCGGCCGGCCA